This 408-nucleotide ribosomal RNA is filed under the name uncultured bacterium. RNAcentral describes it as "partial 16S ribosomal RNA". It matches the Rfam family "Bacterial small subunit ribosomal RNA", at positions 28 to 526 of the family's 1533-position model. The record is from RNAcentral.
GACGAACGCUGGCGGCGUGCUUAAUACAUGCAAGUCGAACGAAGUGGCGAACGGGUGAGUAACGCGUAAUCAACCUGCCCUUCAGAGGGGGACAACAGUUGGAAACGACUGCUAAUACCGCAUACUGAAGGAGGGGAUUGCGUCUGAUUAGCUAGUUGGAGGGGUAACGGCCCACAAAGGCGAUGAUCAGUAGCCGGUCUGAGAAGAUGAACGGCCACAUUGGGACUGGGACACAGCCCCGACUCCUACCGGGGGCAGCAAUGGGGGAUCUUCCGCAAUUGACGAAAAUCUGACGGGGCAACGCCGCGUGGGUGGUGACGGCCUUCGGGUUGUAAAGCUCUGUUUGUCGGGACGCGGUACCGAACUAGAAAGCCACGGCUAACUACGUGCCAGCAGCCGCGGUAAUAC